AGUGAGGAAUAUUGGUCAAUGGGCGGGAGCCUGAACCAGCCAAGUCGCGUGAAGGAAGAAGGAUCUAUGGUUCGUAAACUUCUUUUGCAGGGGAAUAAAGUGCAGGACGUGUCCUGUUUUGUAUGUACCCUGAGAAUAAGGAUCGGCUAACUCCGUGCCAGCAGCCGCGGUAAUACGGAGGAUCCGAGCGUUAUCCGGAUUUAUUGGGUUUAAAGGGUGCGUAGGUGGUUUGAUAAGUCAGCGGUGAAAGUUUGCAGCUUAACUGUAAAAAUGCCGUUGAAACUGUCGGACUUGAGUGUAAAUGAGGUAGGCGGAAUGCGUGGUGUAGCGGUGAAAUGCAUAGAUAUCACGCAGAACUCCGAUUGCGAAGGCAGCUUACUAAGCUACAACUGACACUGAAGCACGAAAGCGUGGGGAUCAAACAGGAUUAGAUACCCUGGUAGUCCACGCAGUAAACGAUGAUUACUAGCUGUUUGCGAUACACAGUAAGCGGCGCAGCGAAAGCGUUAAGUAAUCCACCUGGGGAGUACGCCGGCAACGGUG
This 543-nucleotide ribosomal RNA is filed under the name uncultured bacterium. RNAcentral describes it as "bacterial SSU rRNA". It matches the Rfam family "Bacterial small subunit ribosomal RNA", at positions 353 to 896 of the family's 1533-position model. The record is from RNAcentral.